ACAAAUCUCACUUUGUGUAAAUAACACACACGUAUCGGCACAUAUUCCGGGGUGCCCUUCGGGGUCGGUAAUAUGGGAUACGUGGAGGCAUAACC
Molecule: small RNA, 95 nt
Filed under: Enterobacter kobei
Lineage: Bacteria; Pseudomonadati; Pseudomonadota; Gammaproteobacteria; Enterobacterales; Enterobacteriaceae
Description: t44 RNA
Rfam family: t44 RNA
About the family: This family consists of a number of bacterial RNA genes of between 135 and 170 bases in length. The t44 gene is found between the map and rpsB genes in all species in the full alignment apart from Shigella flexneri.
Source: RNAcentral